GGGCGGUUAGCUCAGCGGUAGAGCACUGCUUUCACACGGCAGGGGCCGCAGGUUCGAUCCCUGCACCGCCCACCA
This 75-nucleotide transfer RNA is filed under the name Gammaproteobacteria bacterium. RNAcentral describes it as "tRNA-Val". It matches the Rfam family "tRNA". Rfam says of the family: Transfer RNA (tRNA) molecules are approximately 80 nucleotides in length. Their secondary structure includes four short double-helical elements and three loops (D, anti-codon, and T loops). The record is from RNAcentral. Lineage: Bacteria; Pseudomonadati; Pseudomonadota; Gammaproteobacteria. RNAcentral also lists the same sequence under 1 other name.